ACGGACUCCCAGCUGCAGCGUGGGGGACUCUCCUACAUCCCAGCCAGCCAGGGGGGAAGGCGCCGGCCGCAGGUACUGCGCUCUCUGCGUGACAGCGGGCAUCAGGGCUUCUGUAUCUGCUGCUCAUCGCUAGCACAAGACGGCGCCGUGUGCAUCUCCUGGAUGAUGUGAUCUCCUACAUGAAUAGUGAAUACCGACUGAAGACGUCGUCUGCCUUAGAUGAUACAUUUCUUCAGAGGUUCCACAUUGUGAGAAACCAUCAUAUAGAAAAGGUUCUGUCUGCAAAAGUGCAUACAUUCAACUCUGCAUCAGGUUGAAAGUGCUUGUUACACUUACACGUUUGGCCCCAAAACAUACUUACCAACUUCUAAAGUCACCUCUCUAGGAGAAUCACAGAGAGGAGACUUUGCCAGCCACCAUGCUUUGAGAGUUUCAAAGGAGCCGAGCAUCAAAAUGAGGCUUAUAACUUCUAAAAAGACUCACCAAGGCAACAUCACAGAAAUGAUGACCCUUUUUGUAUACUUCCAUGAGAAAUUCUGUUUGUUACAUUGUUUGUUUCUUUGAUUGCAAUAAACUCCAAAACUACUCAACUAAAUGUGAUGCAGUUUUCACCAUUGUGUAGGCAAUUUUCCCAUGCAGGUUGUAGUAUCAUCAUAAUCGGUUGUCAGGUCCCCUACACUGCCUACCGGUUCAUUUUUGUUGAGAUUUCGGAAACCUACGAAAAAAUCUUCAUGUGGUCAUGACUGUUCUGCAGGUAAAAGGGCGCCUGAGCGGAGACGACUGCAUCAGCUAGUAAAAUAUAAAAAGACAUGAG
Long non-coding RNA from Pseudophryne corroboree (corroboree frog), 814 nucleotides. RefSeq lists it as uncharacterized. The record is from RefSeq and is a predicted model, not a curated record. The transcript is spliced from 3 exons. NCBI's taxonomy places the organism in Eukaryota, Metazoa, Chordata, Amphibia, Anura, Myobatrachidae.